CAGAGUUUGAUCCUGGCUCAGAUUGAACGCUGGCGGCAGGCCUAACACAUGCAAGUCGAGCGGAUGAGAAGAGCUUGCUCUUCGAUUCAGCGGCGGACGGGUGAGUAAUACCUAGGAAUCUGCCUGGUAGUGGGGGACAACGUUUCGAAAGGAACGCUAAUACCGCAUACGCCCUACGGGGGAAAGCAGGGGACCUUCGGGCCUUGCGCUAUCAGAUGAGCCUAGGUCGGAUUAGCUAGUUGGUGAGGUAAUGGCUCACCAAGGCGACGAUCCGUAACUGGUCUGAGAGGAUGAUCAGUCACACUGGAACUGAGACACGGUCCAGACUCCUACGGGAGGCAGCAGUGGGGAAUAUUGGACAAUGGGCGAAAGCCUGAUCCAGCCAUGCCGCGUGUGUGAAGAAGGUCUUCGGAUUGUAAAGCACUUUAAGUUGGGAGGAAGGGCAUUAACCUAAUACGUUAGUGUUUUGACGUUACCGACAGAAUAAGCACCGGCUAACUCUGUGCCAGCAGCCGCGGUAAUACAGAGGGUGCAAGCGUUAAUCGGAAUUACUGGGCGUAAAGCGCGCGUAGGUGGUUCGUUAAGUUGGAUGUGAAAUCCCCGGGCUCAACCUGGGAACUGCAUCCAAAACUGGCGAGCUAGAGUAGGGCAGAGGGUGGUGGAAUUUCCUGUGUAGCGGUGAAAUGCGUAGAUAUAGGAAGGAACACCAGUGGCGAAGGCGACCACCUGGGCUCAUACUGACACUGAGGUGCGAAAGCGUGGGGAGCAAACAGGAUUAGAUACCCUGGUAGUCCACGCCGUAAACGAUGUCAACUAGCCGUUGGAAUCCUUGAGAUUUUAGUGGCGCAGCUAACGCAUUAAGUUGACCGCCUGGGGAGUACGGC
RNAcentral lists this ribosomal RNA (884 nucleotides) under Pseudomonas sp. TacW1. RNAcentral's name for it is "bacterial SSU rRNA". It matches the Rfam family "Bacterial small subunit ribosomal RNA", at positions 8 to 886 of the family's 1533-position model. The record is from RNAcentral. Lineage: Bacteria; Pseudomonadati; Pseudomonadota; Gammaproteobacteria; Pseudomonadales; Pseudomonadaceae.